GUUAAGCGACUAAGCGUACACGGUGGAUGCCCUGGCAGUCAGAGGCGAUGAAGGACGUGCUAAUCUGCGAUAAGCGUCGGUAAGGUGAUAUGAACCGUUAUAACCGGCGAUUUCCGAAUGGGGAAACCCAGUGUGAUUCGUCACACUAUCAUUAACUGAAUCCAUAGGUUAAUGAGGCGAACCGGGGGAACUGAAACAUCUAAGUACCCCGAGGAAAAGAAAUCAACCGAGAUUCCCCCAGUAGCGGCGAGCGAACGGGGAGGAGCCCAGAGCCUGAAUCAGUGUGUGUGUUAGUGGAAGCGUCUGGAAAGGCGCGCGAUACAGGGUGACAGCCCCGUACACAAAAAUGCACAUGCUGUGAGCUCGAUGAGUAGGGCGGGACACGUGGUAUCCUGUCUGAAUAUGGGGGGACCAUCCUCCAAGGCUAAAUACUCCUGACUGACCGAUAGUGAACCAGUACCGUGAGGGAAAGGCGAAAAGAACCCCGGCGAGGGGAGUGAAAAAGAACCUGAAACCGUGUACGUACAAGCAGUGGGAGCCUCUUUAUGGGGUGACUGCGUACCUUUUGUAUAAUGGGUCAGCGACUUAUAUUCUGUAGCAAGGUUAACCGAAUAGGGGAGCCGAAGGGAAACCGAGUCUUAACUGGGCGUUAAGUUGCAGGGUAUAGACCCGAAACCCGGUGAUCUAGCCAUGGGCAGGUUGAAGGUUGGGUAACACUAACUGGAGGACCGAACCGACUAAUGUUGAAAAAUUAGCGGAUGACUUGUGGCUGGGGGUGAAAGGCCAAUCAAACCGGGAGAUAGCUGGUUCUCCCCGAAAGCUAUUUAGGUAGCGCCUCGUGAAUUCAUCUCCGGGGGUAGAGCACUGUUUCGGCAAGGGGGUCAUCCCGACUUACCAACCCGAUGCAAACUGCGAAUACCGGAGAAUGUUAUCACGGGAGACACACGGCGGGUGCUAACGUCCGUCGUGAAGAGGGAAACAACCCAGACCGCCAGCUAAGGUCCCAAAGUCAUGGUUAAGUGGGAAACGAUGUGGGAAGGCCCAGACAGCCAGGAUGUUGGCUUAGAAGCAGCCAUCAUUUAAAGAAAGCGUAAUAGCUCACUGGUCGAGUCGGCCUGCGCGGAAGAUGUAACGGGGCUAAACCAUG
RNAcentral lists this ribosomal RNA (1147 nucleotides) under Escherichia coli. Its description in RNAcentral is "partial 23S ribosomal RNA". It matches the Rfam family "Bacterial large subunit ribosomal RNA", at positions 1 to 1191 of the family's 2925-position model. The record is from RNAcentral. Lineage: Bacteria; Pseudomonadati; Pseudomonadota; Gammaproteobacteria; Enterobacterales; Enterobacteriaceae.